Molecule: long non-coding RNA, 1399 nt
Organism: Ailuropoda melanoleuca (giant panda)
Lineage: Eukaryota; Metazoa; Chordata; Mammalia; Carnivora; Ursidae
Exons: 3
Source: RefSeq, a predicted model, not a curated record
UCAGCGUGGGAGUGGGGAAGGGACAGAGCUACCAACCCCUUUCCUUUUUGUACGAGUGAGUGGAUAAAAAGGGGAGAGGCUGCCAAGAGAUGUGCUUGAGCUGGAGGAGACCGCCCUGCCAAUAGUCAGCCUCGCAUAUCACUCUGUCAAAAGAUCAUCUCCCUACCUCUCUCCCGGAAGUAACCAUCACCAUGAAUUGUUUGCAUCACACCUUUGUUUCUCAAAAAAUAGAUUUAUCACAUACGAAUAUGACAAACCUGAAGAUACACGUGAGGAGGUAGCUAGAGCCGAACAAGGGUAAAGAGGCCUGUGUUCCCAUGGAUGACUCAAGCCUGUCCAGCAGUGUUGAUGUAGACAAAGGCUUUGCCAUUGCCUUUGUUGUUCUUUUGUUUCUGUUCCUGAUUGUGAUGAUUUUUCGGUGUGCCAAGUUGGUGAAGAAUCCCUACGAGGCCAGCUCCACAACCACGGAACCAUCUCUGAGCUGAGCUAUGAGAAAGCCUGAUAGACUCCCCCUCAAAGGAGGUCUGAAAUCUUCUAUACAGAUAUUCAUGACCCAGGCUUUAUAUUAUUUCACCUCUCUAUAUGUCAGCCCUCUCAGUCUUGCAUUCCACAAUAGGCACAGAUAAUAAAAAGGAUGAAACACGAGUCAGUUUAUCUUGUUGCUAUUCAGGGAAAUGCUUACAAAACAAGACCAAGACAGGUUGAACUCACUGAUUAAAGUAAGGCCAUGGGUUUCAAUUCUCCAGUAUCAAAUAUCCUUAAGAUAAGAUAAUUGGACAUAAUUAUAUGAUGUAAUGUAAUAUGAUGCUUGGUGAGGCCCACCUAAAGCUAGAACUCCUAGAGGCAGUCUUAGAAGAUCCCUUUAGUUGUGCAAAUAUAAGGCCAGCAGGAACCAGUUGUCCUACGAUAAGAGUCUAACAGGACGUUUUUAAAAAAAAAUUUUUUUUAAUGUAUUAUUCAUUUAUUUGAGAGAGAGGGCUGGGUGGGGGGAGCAGAAGGGGAGGAAGAAAGAAUCUCAAGCAGACUCCGUGCUGAGUGAAGAGCCCUACCCUAGUCUCAGGCUCCUCAAGGGACUCAAUCCCACGACCCUGAGAUCGUGACCCCAGCCAAAACUAAGAGUCGGAGGCCCAACCGACUGAUUCGCCCAGGCGCCCCUAACAGGACUUUUUUAGUGUGUGUGGUUUUGUAAAAUCUGCUGCCCUUCUCAAGGGGGCAGAGCUCUGUGACAGAGGGGGAGUCAUUUGCCUUUAGUGAAUCCCUCAAUCUUUUUCACCCCACCAUUCCUCAUCUAUAAAAUAACAUCUAGUAGAUUGAAAAGGGACCCUCCAAAAGAUAUGUCCAUGUCCUCACCCUUGAAACCUAGGAACAAGUGACCUCAUUUGAUAAAAGGAUCUUUACA